Non-coding RNA from Rattus norvegicus (Norway rat), 260 nucleotides. NCBI's taxonomy places the organism in Eukaryota, Metazoa, Chordata, Mammalia, Rodentia, Muridae. The record is from RefSeq and is a predicted model, not a curated record.
GACUGGGAAGUCUACACCAUGUUGAUUAGUAACCUUUACUAGAAGUGACCUCUGGGGCUGACGUGUGGCUUGGUGGUAGAGAACUUGUCUAGCAUGUGCAAAGCCAUAAGUUCAAUCCACAGUAUUACCAACAAGGCUGGGGAUCGAACCCAGGACCUUGUGCUUCCUAGGCAAGCGCUCUACCACGAGCCAAAUCCCCAAUCCCUGAUUUUAAGUCUUUCUUAAGCUGGAAUGGAGAACUAAGUGUUCUGUUUAACUGA